This is a small nucleolar RNA of Lemur catta (Ring-tailed lemur), 100 nucleotides long. RefSeq annotates it as small nucleolar RNA U13. The record is from RefSeq and is a predicted model, not a curated record. NCBI's taxonomy places the organism in Eukaryota, Metazoa, Chordata, Mammalia, Primates, Lemuridae. The transcript has a single exon.
AUCUGUUUGUAGUUCAUAAGCGUGAUGAUUGGGUGUUCAUUCGCAUGUGUCAGAUGUGCCUCAAACCUUGUUAUGGCAUGGGCACGUUACCCAUCUGAUG